GACGAGGGGUCCAAGCGUUGUUCGGAAUCAUUGGGCGUAAAGCGGGUGUAGGUGGCUCUAUAAGUCAGGAGUGAAAGCCCUGAGCUUAACUUGGGAAGUGCUUUUGAUACUGUAGAGCUUGAAUGUGGGAGAGGAUCGUGGAAUUCCAGGUGUAGUGGUGAAAUGCGUAGAGAUCCGGAGGAAGACCGGUGGCGAAGGCGGUCUGCUGGGCAGUUUCUGACACUGAUGCGCGACAGCGUGGGGAGCAAACAGG
This 253-nucleotide ribosomal RNA is filed under the name uncultured bacterium. RNAcentral's name for it is "partial 16S ribosomal RNA". It matches the Rfam family "Bacterial small subunit ribosomal RNA", at positions 524 to 776 of the family's 1533-position model. The record is from RNAcentral.